GAGUGUGGUUCAAUGGUACAGCACUUGUCUAGCAUACAUGAGGCCCUGGGUUCUAUCCCCAACACCA
Molecule: transfer RNA, 67 nt
Filed under: Marmota monax (woodchuck)
Lineage: Eukaryota; Metazoa; Chordata; Mammalia; Rodentia; Sciuridae
Description: tRNA.Ala
Source: RNAcentral